MicroRNA precursor from Myotis lucifugus (little brown bat), 75 nucleotides. It matches the Rfam family "mir-9223 microRNA precursor family". Lineage: Eukaryota; Metazoa; Chordata; Mammalia; Chiroptera; Vespertilionidae. The record is from Rfam.
GGGGGUUUUCGGGUGACACACCCCAGAAUCAGGCUCCCUCCUCUCUGGUUCCAGGUGCAUGACCCAAGAACCGCA